CCGCAAGGAAGACUACUCUACUGCUGGUGGUAUGAUUUUGGGCUUCUUUUUUGCAGCUUUAUGAAAAUGGUCGAAGUUUGGUAGAUCUUGUAGGGACUGUAUCUAACUGUCAAUGGCUAUUUCAAGUUCAAAUCACCAGACUAUAAGAAGGUCUCGUUUCUAUCCAGUUGAUGAGACAGGUGGCAGCUAGAGAUGGAGAUUGUGAGAGAAAUCGGAGUUUUUUUGUUUCUUGCUGUGUUGUUUAGCCCAUUUUUGGUUAUUGAGCUGCAUGGUUUAAUAGAGGAAACAAAUGGUGUUGCUCAGUUUAACACUACUAUUGCAAGCCCUUUGCUUUCACAUGGAAGCAGCGAUAUUGCUAAAGAUGCAAACUCGACUAAGGAAGUUCAAUAUAAUAGCAAAAGUAAUAUGAAUAAUGGUCGGAAAGGAGGA
Molecule: unclassified non-coding RNA, 429 nt
Filed under: Hevea brasiliensis (rubber tree)
Lineage: Eukaryota; Viridiplantae; Streptophyta; Magnoliopsida; Malpighiales; Euphorbiaceae
Source: RNAcentral